AAAAACUUAUGACGUGUGAAUAUGAUGUGCGAAUUCUGCAAGUGUACGCAUCGAAUCAAGUAAUAAGUGAUGAGUGAGUAUCGUUCCCAAGAGGAUUGGAUGAGUGCUCUUUGUCUAAGUUAUCACAGUUGAACAUAAAAGAUAAAUGUAUCGAAUGUUGUUUAAUGAAAUUAAAAUGGGAUUAACACAUUAAAAGUGAGAAUAGUGAAGUCUACUAGCAGAGAUUACCAUUGCAACAAAUCAAACAAGAGUACUAAAGAC
This 261-nucleotide long non-coding RNA is filed under the name Gossypium barbadense (sea-island cotton). RNAcentral's name for it is "long non-coding RNA (GBAR_LNC019161)". Lineage: Eukaryota; Viridiplantae; Streptophyta; Magnoliopsida; Malvales; Malvaceae. The record is from RNAcentral.